Microcebus murinus (gray mouse lemur) is the source of this 1640-nucleotide non-coding RNA. The record is from RefSeq and is a predicted model, not a curated record. Lineage: Eukaryota; Metazoa; Chordata; Mammalia; Primates; Cheirogaleidae.
UUGGGAAAGUGUGGGGCUUAUGCAGGGACGUGCAUGGACAGACAUGGCAAAGGCCCACAGCUGGGUUCAGAGCCUCAGGGAACACAGGUUGGGCAAAGCAAGGUGGGCCCAGUCCUAGGGACCAGCUGCUCACCUGCCUGGCCUCCAGUCCCCAUCUGGCCCCUCCACCUGACAGGGUGAGCGGACAGACCCAAAGUACCUUGGAGCGUUUAAAGCCCCACACAGAUGGGAAUCUUAUCCACUGAGGUCCCACAGGAGUGACCACAGAAGACGACAGCCUUAGAACCAUCUUUAGGCUAAUUGUGUUCCAAGUUAAACAAAGAACAAAUUAGGGAAUGAUUAUUCCAUUUAGGAGAGAAUUUUUCACUUUUCAGAAAGAGUCACCAUAGAAUUCUUUUAUGUAGUAAGUUUUCCGGUACAUUUAAAAUGUGGUUUUUAUUUAUAGACAGAUUAUUAUGUUGUGCCCAGGACUGUUUACGAGGGCAUUGGUUUUGUAAAGCAAACCCUUUCAGGAUGAGAUUGAAUGUGACAAGAGGCUGGAUAGAGAUGCCCUGAAGGCUCCUGGGAACAGUGACAAACAUGGACUUGCCUGAUCCCAGUGGUGUGGUUGCCUCAGCCCUGGCCACAGCCCCCAGGAGCAGAGGACGUGGCUGGAAGACCAGGGGAUAGAGGUGCCCCUGUCCACUCUCCCCUGUGAGAGUGUCCUGGUGUGUACACUUCAGAGGAAGGGGCCUGCCUGCCUCCUGGGGCGAGAGGGCGAGGAGCAUGUUAGAGUGUGUGUGAGCACCAGAGGACAUAAACCAUGAACGUGAGCCUGCUGCGGACCGCACAGCCCUAGGCUCGUGCUCCCCAGCUCAGAGCCUUUAAUGGCUUCUUCCUGCCUGAAGGAAUUAGGUUCAAGAUCUUUCCAUGGCCUUCAAGACUCUUCAUGUUGUGGACCUUGUCUGCCUCCCCAGUUUCUUCUGUUUACUGUGUCCCCUGUUCUCUUUCACCAACACUGGUGUCUGUCUGGAGGCCCCUUGCCUCUCUCCCUGCCCCCAACACCCAGCUGAGGCCAAGGUCAAGAACUGGCAGCCUGUGGGCUAAUGUGGCCUGCAGAUUUUUCAAAAAUUGAGAUAUAAUUAUCAUACAAAAUGUACAGAUCUUGUGGUCCUUCUGUAGGUGUGUUUUAAAAAUUAUUUCCUUAACAUUUAAACAUUGAGAGAUCUCACAUAAAAACCCAGAUUUCUGGUUCCUUUGAGGAGCUAGAAUUUGGCAACGUGGGCCCUCAUUCUUGCAUGUCAUCCCUGAGCUGGAACCACACUCCAGCCACACCUCUGACCAGCACAGUCCCCAGCCAGGCCCCCUUUCCUCUUUUCUUUACCUGCCAGUUCGCCAUUGUCCCUUCUGCAAGCCUCAGCUGAGGUGCUACUUCCUCACUUAGGCCUUCCGGAGCCCCCUUCAGACUAUAUGAGGUCACUCGGUGACAAACUGGCAUAGUAUAGUCCCUUGGACUUUCUUCAUUGUAUUAAUUAAUGAUCCCAGUAUUUCAUCAGUAUCUUUGUUUUCCACAAGACUGUUGUCUCCUCGGGGAUAGGGACAAGUCUGUCUUGCCCCUGUCAUAUCCCUCAGUGUCUGGCCCAGAGAAAGACCUCAGUAAA